RNAcentral lists this ribosomal RNA (433 nucleotides) under uncultured bacterium. RNAcentral describes it as "partial 16S ribosomal RNA". It matches the Rfam family "Bacterial small subunit ribosomal RNA", at positions 29 to 507 of the family's 1533-position model. The record is from RNAcentral.
AACGAACGCUGGCGGCAUGCCUAACACAUGCAAGUCGAACGAGACCUUCGGGUCUAGUGGCGCCCGGGUGCGUAACGCGUGGGAACCUGCCCUUAGGUUCGGAAUAACUCCCCGAAAGGGGUGCUAAUACCGGAUAAUGUCUUCGGACCAAAGAUUUAUCGCCUUUGGAUGGGCCCGCGUUGGAUUAGCUAGUUGGUAGGGUAAAAGCCUACCAAGGCGACGAUCCAUAGCUGGUCUGAGAGGAGGAUCAGCCACACUGGGACUGAGACACGGCCCAGACUCCUACGGGAGGCAGCAGUGGGGAAUAUUGGACAAUGGGCGAAAGCCUGAUCCAGCAAUGCCGCGUGAGUGAUGAAGGCCUUAGGGUUGUAAAGCUCUUUUACCCGGGAUGAUAAUGACAGUACCGGGAGAAUAAGCGCCGGCUAACUCCGUG